RNAcentral lists this long non-coding RNA (242 nucleotides) under Solanum tuberosum (potato). Its description in RNAcentral is "long non-coding RNA (STUB_LNC010770)". Lineage: Eukaryota; Viridiplantae; Streptophyta; Magnoliopsida; Solanales; Solanaceae. The record is from RNAcentral.
AGUUUAUGAUACCCAACCUAAGAAUGGAAAGAAUAAUGGAAAAAACUACCAUUAUAGGUUCUUUUCAAGAGUUGGACACAUUACCGAAAAAUUGGGGAAGAAGGGAAAGCAAAACUUACUGUAACUAAGGAUUAGAGCAACAUCGAAGAAACAUUUGAGACAAAAGUGAGAUCCAAAAACGAUGAUCCAGAUUUCAUGAAGAGCAAAAGCCAGCGAUAGAACAAAUCUAGAGCAGACGGUAG